CUGUGUCAUAUCCGAAUCAGUGUCGGCCGAUGUGUGGGUAAGAUAAGAGAGCGGAGAGCGGUAUCGACGUCGGGGCGAUAGAGGAGAAGAAGAGAGAAAAAGUGGGAGGACAAAUAGAAAAUUAAAUGGUAAGAUGAGGGAAACGAAUGAGAAGGAGAAAACAACGCAAGAAAAUAGAAUGAAAAUAUUUUUAUUAAUCUAAAAAAAAUUCGAAUUGA
This 218-nucleotide long non-coding RNA is filed under the name Ananas comosus (pineapple). Its description in RNAcentral is "long non-coding RNA (ACOM_LNC010666)". Lineage: Eukaryota; Viridiplantae; Streptophyta; Magnoliopsida; Poales; Bromeliaceae. The record is from RNAcentral.